This 64-nucleotide transfer RNA is filed under the name Nymphon brevicaudatum. RNAcentral describes it as "tRNA-His". Lineage: Eukaryota; Metazoa; Arthropoda; Pycnogonida; Pantopoda; Nymphonidae. The record is from RNAcentral.
AUAAGAAUAGUUUAUAUGAAAAUAUUGAUUUGUGGGGUCAAAGAUUUAUUAGUUAAUUUUUAUU